AGAGUUUGAUCCUGGCUCAGGAUGAACGCUAGCUACAGGCUUAACACAUGCAAGUCGAGGGGCAGCAUGGUCUUAGCUUGCUAAGACUGAUGGCGACCGGCGCACGGGUGAGUAACACGUAUCCAACCUGCCGUCUACUCUUGGACAGCCUUCUGAAAGGAAGAUUAAUACAAGAUGGCAUCAUGAGUCCGCAUGUUCACAUGAUUAAAGGUAUUCCGGUAGACGAUGGGGAUGCGUUCCAUUAGAUAGUAGGCGGGGUAACGGCCCACCUAGUCUUCGAUGGAUAGGGGUUCUGAGAGGAAGGUCCCCCACAUUGGAACUGAGACACGGUCCAAACUCCUACGGGAGGCAGCAGUGAGGAAUAUUGGUCAAUGGGCGAGAGCCUGAACCAGCCAAGUAGCGUGAAGGAUGACUGCCCUAUGGGUUGUAAACUUCUUUUAUAAAGGAAUAAAGUCGGGUAUGCAUACCCGUUUGCAUGUACUUUAUGAAUAAGGAUCGGCUAACUCCGUGCCAGCAGCCGCGGUAAUACGGAGGAUCCGAGCGUUAUCCGGAUUUAUUGGGUUUAAAGGGAGCGUAGAUGGAUGUUUAAGUCAGUUGUGAAAGUUUGCGGCUCAACCGUAAAAUUGCAGUUGAUACUGGAUAUCUUGAGUGCAGUUGAGGCAGGCGGAAUUCGUGGUGUAGCGGUGAAAUGCUUAGAUAUCACGAAGAACUCCGAUUGCGAAGGCAGCCUGCUAAGCUGCAACUGACAUUGAGGCUCGAAAGUGUGGGUAUCAAACAGGAUUAGAUACCCUGGUAGUCCACACGGUAAACGAUGAAUACUCGCUGUUUGCGAUAUACUGCAAGCGGCCAAGCGAAAGCGUUAAGUAUUCCACCUGGGGAGUACGCCGGCAACGGUGAAACUCAAAGGAAUUGACGGGGGCCCGCACAAGCGGAGGAACAUGUGGUUUAAUUCGAUGAUACGCGAGGAACCUUACCCGGGCUUAAAUUGCAGAUGAAUUACGGUGAAAGCCGUAAGCCGCAAGGCAUCUGUGAAGGUGCUGCAUGGUUGUCGUCAGCUCGUGCCGUGAGGUGUCGGCUUAAGUGCCAUAACGAGCGCAACCCUUGUUGUCAGUUACUAACAGGUUCCGCUGAGGACUCUGACAAGACUGCCAUCGUAAGAUGUGAGGAAGGUGGGGAUGACGUCAAAUCAGCACGGCCCUUACGUCCGGGGCUACACACGUGUUACAAUGGGGGGUACAGAGGGCCGCUACCACGCGAGUGGAUGCCAAUCCCCAAAACCUCUCUCAGUUCGGACUGGAGUCUGCAACCCGACUCCACGAAGCUGGAUUCGCUAGUAAUCGCGCAUCAGCCACGGCGCGGUGAAUACGUUCCCGGGCCUUGUACACACCGCCCGUCAAGCCAUGGGAGCCGGGGGUACCUGAAGUGCGUAACCGCGAGGAGCGCCCUAGGGUAAAACUGGUGACUGGGGCUAAGUCGUAACAAGGUAGCCGUACCGGAAGGUGCGGCUG
This 1508-nucleotide ribosomal RNA is filed under the name Phocaeicola vulgatus. Its description in RNAcentral is "bacterial SSU rRNA". It matches the Rfam family "Bacterial small subunit ribosomal RNA". Lineage: Bacteria; Pseudomonadati; Bacteroidota; Bacteroidia; Bacteroidales; Bacteroidaceae. The record is from RNAcentral.